Molecule: transfer RNA, 82 nt
Filed under: Rozella allomycis CSF55
Lineage: Eukaryota; Fungi; Rozellomycota
Description: tRNA-Leu (CAG) (tRNA-Leu-CAG-1-1)
Rfam family: tRNA
About the family: Transfer RNA (tRNA) molecules are approximately 80 nucleotides in length.
Source: Rfam by way of RNAcentral
GGUUGGAUGGCCGAGUGGUCUAAGGCGUAGGUUUCAGGUACCUAUCUCUUCGGAGGCGAGGGUUCGAACCCCUCUCCAAUCA